Molecule: ribosomal RNA, 375 nt
Filed under: uncultured organism
Description: partial 16S ribosomal RNA
Rfam family: Bacterial small subunit ribosomal RNA
Source: RNAcentral
GUAGGGUGCGAGCGUUAUCCGGAAUCAUUGGGCGUAAAGAGCUCGUAGGCGGUUCAGCAAGUCGGCCGUGAAAUUCCGAGGCUCAACCUCGGAACUGCAGUCGAUACUGCUGUGACUCGAGUCCGGUAGAGGAGAAUGGAAUUCCCGGUGUAGCGGUGAAAUGCGCAGAUAUCGGGAGGAACACCAGUAGCGAAGGCGGCUCUCUGGGCCGGCACUGACGCUGAGGAGCGAAAGCGUGGGUAGCAAACAGGAUUAGAUACCCUGGUAGUCCCACGCCGUAAACGUUGGAUACUAGGUGUGGCGUUCCGACCAACGGUCGCCGUGCCGAAGCUAACGCAUUAAGUAUCCCCGCCUGGGAGUACGGCCGCAAGGCUA